Triticum aestivum (bread wheat) is the source of this 152-nucleotide non-coding RNA. The record is from Rfam. Lineage: Eukaryota; Viridiplantae; Streptophyta; Magnoliopsida; Poales; Poaceae.
GUUAUACUCCGUCCCAAAAUUCUUGUCUUAGAUUUGUCUAGAUACGGAUUUAUCUUGUCUAAAUACGGAUGUAUCAAGUUAUGUUUUAGUAUUAGAUACAUCCGUAUCUAGACAAAUCUAAGACAAGAAUUUUGGGACGGAGGGAGUACUAC